CCUUAGAGUUUGAUCCUGGCUCAGGACGAACGCUGGCGGCGUGCCUAACACAUGCAAGUCGAGCGGAGACAGUGAGUAGCUUGCUACGAGCUGUUUUAGCGGCGGACGGGUGAGUAACGCGUGAGCAACCUUUCCCAGACAGGGGAAUAACACACCGAAAGGUGUACUAAUACCGCAUAAGACCACGGGAUCACAUGGUUCUGGGGUAAAAGAUUUAUCGGUUUGGGGUGGGCUCGCGUCCGAUUAGGUAGUUGGUGAGGUAACGGCCCACCAAGCCGACGAUCGGUAGCCGACCUGAGAGGGUGAUCGGCCACAUUGGGACUGAGACACGGCCCAAACUCCUACGGGAGGCAGCAGUGGGGAAUAUUGGGCAAUGGAGGAAACUCUGACCCAGCAACGCCGCGUGGAGGAAGAAGGUUUUCGGAUCGUAAACUCCUGUCCUUGGAGACGAGUAGAAGACGGUAUCCAAGGAGGAAGCCCCGGCUAACUACGUGCCAGCAGCCGCGGUAAUACGUAGGGGGCAAGCGUUGUCCGGAAUAAUUGGGCGUAAAGGGCGCGUAGGCGGCUCGGUAAGUCUGGAGUGAAAGUCCUGCUUUUAAGGUGGGAAUUGCUUUGGAUACUGUCGGGCUUGAGUGCAGGAGAGGUUAGUGGAAUUCCCAGUGUAGCGGUGAAAUGCGUAGAGAUUGGGAGGAACACCAGUGGCGAAGGCGACUAACUGGACUGUAACUGACGCUGAGGCGCGAAAGUGUGGGGAGCAAACAGGAUUAGAUACCCUGGUAGUCCACACUGUAAACGAUGAAUGCUAGGUGUAGGGGGUAUCGACCCCUUCUGUGCCGCAGUCAACACAAUAAGCAUUCCGCCUGGGGAGUACGGCCGCAAGGUUGAAACUCAAAGGAAUUGACGGAAGGGCGA
This 912-nucleotide ribosomal RNA is filed under the name uncultured bacterium. Its description in RNAcentral is "bacterial SSU rRNA". It matches the Rfam family "Bacterial small subunit ribosomal RNA", at positions 1 to 924 of the family's 1533-position model. The record is from RNAcentral.